ACCCAGAACGAAUAGCAGACUUUCAGAUAAAGAAAAUCUACGUAAUAACAAAUUACCCACUCAGUAACAGCAACCAAACUAAGGUUUUACCUUUGGGGUAGUGGUGACAUGAGAGGUGGAAGACGGGAGAAAGCUGUCUGAAGGACUACCCUGCCCAGGCAAAGCACACACAGGAUCUGCCUCCCCCAGCACCCAGAGGUGCACCAGGGAGGACCCUCUGCCACUGCAUGCAGGGCUGGGCCCUGGCUCAUCAUGAAUACAGCAGUUCCUGGCUUGUGGGAUUCAACAAAGCAGGACCAAUGACUGCCUUUCUUCGUGUUAGGUGGUGUGCGAGAGGAUGCAUCACACACACGGAGUGAGAGAACUGUAUAAAAGAUUUCCUAAGUGGCUGUGAUAGAUCUCUCCACAACGGCUUGGCACAUGCUGUAUGUACUAAUAGCUUGUCAUGAAAGGAUGAUCAAUGCUCUGGAGCACCAGCCAUAGGCUGUGGAGCAUCAGGUUCACCCAGAGGCUCUGCACAAAUGCUGUGGCAAGUGGCAACCUCCUUAUGCUUCAAUUUGUCAUCUAAGAAAUGAAAAUAACAGCUCUGCCUCCCCAGCAGUGUUGCACAACCAACCAUGUUAAAGUUCUGCUAGUAAACACCAGGGCAAGACAAGCAGCCCAAACACAGAUGAACAGGAGGGAUGCAUAUGGGCCAGCACAGAAACCUCACAUUUACAACUCAUUUUCAAAAGAGACUUUGGCUAUGUCUGAUCCCAAGACAAAUCAAGCCCAAAAAAUAAUUGCAGAGGGCACUCAGACAGACAGACAGAUGAUCACUACUGAAAAUGGAUUGUAAGAACUUCAGGCAUGAUUGAAUCUACUAUUGAAAUACGGAGCCGACAUUUGAAAAAGACAAAAUAAAUGUCUACAAAUGGAGACCAAUUCUAGAGCAAAGCUUUUGUGAAAAAAAAAAAAAAAUUAAGAAGGUUCAAGGUGGCUUUCAUACAGGAUAGGCAAAUAUAAGUGAGUAAGAACCAAUGAGAAAACUCUUUCAAACACAAACAUCAACUACCUAGCAUGUGAUUUUGUUCUUUUGGGACUACUGAAAAAUCCUCCACUUACUGAAGUGAUAAUAGUACUGAGCUUUCAAUUUCAACUGACCAAUGUCAUGCCAUCCUCAAUUUAUCUCUCACAUAGAAACCAGUUUCCAGUAAAGAAUCUCUACAAAAAUAGUGCAUUGAGUACUGUGGUCUUAAAAUUCUGAGGGUGCCAGCAAACUCAAAGAUUGACAAAGCUGUGAUCAACACUGGCAAAACAAGUUGGAAGACAAAGUUCAGCUCCAGUCCCAAACAUAACUCUGCAGGAAAAAGAAAAUAUUAACUAACCACAAGUAGAAGUUUCAAGUCUUUUGAUCCGAAGUCAUCAUUCUGUAUUUAAUUCUGGUUUAUGCCUUCUUCCCUCCACACCCCAAUUUCAAAUUCUUUUUUUUUUACUCUGGAAAAUGGAGUUUAAGUAUAGUUAUCUGUUAUUCUUGCUGAUCAAUACCAUCUGUGGCAAAAGACUAGGGAGCUAUACUGGACAGAUUAGACUUUGAAAGGCUUUUAAAAUUACCAAGAAAUCAAGUGCAACAUACAGUUCUGUUGACUGGUCUGGAUUAACUCCCAAAAUUGGCUGAUAGAAAGAUGUGAGAAUCUUUCCAAAAAGUUAAAACCUGUAGCUAAUAAAACCAGCUGUAAUGUGAAAAAUUAGGUCCUUCUCUCUUUAAAUCAUAACCCAUAGAGGCACUGAAGUAAAUCCCUUAAUCUCUUUUUAAGUAGCUAUUUUAUCCCAACUUCCUCUGUGGUUUAUAACCUCAAAGCAUCUACACCACAACUCAAGAACAGCCUACACAAGGAGCUUCAAGUUUAUUUUCUUCAAAAAGCAUCUAAAAUAAAAAUUUUAAAAAAAAAUUAAGAAGAAAAAACUUACAAAACCCACCACCAAAAUGAAGCACAAAAAAACCCCAACUCCAGAACAAAAUAAAAAAAGUCUGAGCAAUAGACCACAAAACCACAAGAACCACCAACCUGAGUUCAACCUUCCUGAUCCUUUAAUCCCUUGUCCAAUACCAUGCAUCAAAAAGAAACAUUCAUAACUCUUAAAGCCACAUUAUAUAUUCUCUGAGGUGUGCAAAUGAUUAAAAUUCUAUAUAGAUCAUUAUUCUAUUUUCACCCUUGUAACCAAUUUAUGGACAGGAAAAGUGGAACAGCAAUUUUAAGACCUCAAGUUUGUAUCCAUGGGCAAGUUUUCCUCUGUCUUCACCACAGUAUUCAACAGGAAGCCCCAAGGAGAUCUGUCAAGAUUCAGUGCAUGGCAGCCAAAUUAACUUGCUCAGGAUUUCUAGCAAGCCAAGGAUGGAUUGAGAUGCAGACCCAGAAUCCAUGUCUCUUAAUCUCUUGCUAAAAACAGAAUAGUUAAUGAAAAACCUUAGUAAAACAUUUCAGAGGAAAGAUUCAGUAAUGUUUUAAAUGUUAUGAUGUUGUUUCUCAGGGAAAACCAGGAAAGUGUAUUUCAGAUGUUGGGACCACGCCUUCCUCAUGCAACAGUAAUACCACAGAGUCAUAAAUCUAUGUCUUACUCACUAAACAAUAGCAUAAAAGGUGCUGGAUUAUGAAGGUGAAAGUGGUCCUUUAGACAGUCCUCAGACACCAGGAAGGCAGGUGUCAUUACCUACACACUCCAGAUGGGAAAUCCCAGGCAGAACAAUUGGGUAACACACCUCAGACCACAGGGAAAGUCCUUUCAGUAUCUGGGGGAGCAGACCCUUGCCCUGAGACUCACAUUCACGUCGUGCCUCUCAAACUGCACACUAGAGCAGUCUCCAUUUGGUAACAAGUCACUCCUACCCUCCAGUUUUUAUGAAGGGUAACACUGCAGAUGUUGACAGCUUGUGGGAUCUCGAUGAUCCCAUUAGCUCAGCAAAGGAAACACCAGUGUAGCAGUAAAGGUUACAGACUGAAGUGUAGGCUCACCAGAUUUUAAGGAACAUGCCAGAGGCAGAUAGUUAUAUAGUUAUGAAAGGGGAGCACUGUAAACCAAAACCACAUUCUACAAACCCCUUCCUUGUUUCGACAUAAUCACCCUGACUAUUUAUUAAAAACAUCACACAUCUUUACAUUUCAUCAUCUGCAUCAGCUCUGAAAUAUUUUGUGUUUGUUUUUGUUUAAAUAAAAAUAAAAAGGAAUCUUC
This is a long non-coding RNA of Oenanthe melanoleuca, 3210 nucleotides long. RefSeq lists it as uncharacterized. The record is from RefSeq and is a predicted model, not a curated record. The transcript has 3 exons. Lineage: Eukaryota; Metazoa; Chordata; Aves; Passeriformes; Muscicapidae.